GAUGAAGAACGCAGUGAAAUGCGAUAAGUAAUGUGAAUUGCAGAAUCUCGUGAAUCAUCGAAUCUUUGAACGCACAUUGCGCCCUAUGGUAUUCCGUAGGGCAUGCCUGUCUGAGCGUCAACUCCCACCCUCUCAAGUCUUCUUUUUUGUUAAGGAGAUUUGGAUUACUUUGAGGAAGUAUCGUUUUUUUUUUUAUAAUGCUACUCCUCAGAAAUUCAUAGGCAGUAUGGUCAAACCUGAACCAGGCGUAAUAAUUCUAUAAAAAUCGUCUAUGAAGGAAUGUCUGUAUUAGCCUUUAACCCCCCCUAAUUUAUUUUACUUGGGUGACCUCAGAUCAGGUAGGGAUACCCGCUGAACUUAAGCAUAUCAAUAAGCGGAGGA
This 381-nucleotide unclassified non-coding RNA is filed under the name soil metagenome. RNAcentral describes it as "partial contains 5.8S ribosomal RNA, internal transcribed spacer 2, and large subunit ribosomal RNA". The stretch from base 1 to 120 matches the Rfam family "5.8S ribosomal RNA", at positions 35 to 154 of the family's 154-position model. The record is from RNAcentral.